UUUUAAACAAGUAAAAGGUUAAUGCCCUAGAUUGAAACCCUUCUUCCUCGUUUUCUCUCUCGCAAACCCCUCCCCCGAAACCCUUUCUUUGCAGCACCUCACUAGCCUUAGCCGACUCUCCCUCUCUCCGCCGCCGACAGCCGACCAGCUUCUCCCUUAGCCACCGCCCUCCAGUGUCCAGCCGAAGCUGAUCGUCGUUGUUCGAGCCCAGCCGUUUGCGUGACUAGACGCCGCCACUCAUCUCUUUUGCCCAAGCCAGAUGGAGCGUUCGCUGCCCACCGUUCGCGCUGACCAGACGCUGCUGCACGCCAUUUGGAGUCGCCCAGCCUCGCGCCAGACGUCAUUCACCAUACAGUCGCACUGCCCCUGUUCUAGAUCCGGUCAGUCCUCCACUAGAUCUACUGUUUUCAUCCUCAACCGUCGUCGUUCCUUGGGAUUUUCGUUGAAUCAUGGAAUUGGGUGAAAUUUUAGUACUUCAUGAGUUUGUGGUCUCAUUUACCAAUUCACAACAAUCAUAGUGUACAGCAGUUCCUUAAGAUGGAAUUAUCUCAAUCUUUAGGUGGGACUUUGUCCUUAAUUGAACACUCAGUGGGCAGAUGGCUUACACGAGUCUACAUGGAAGAAUUUGGUACAUCUCAGAUUUCCUUGUUGCUGACUCUUGGAACCCCUCACCUGUAAGUUAAUAUUUGUCUCAUCCUUAUCAAGCUUCUUCUUGAUGUUCUUUUAAUUUCCAAACUUUCAGGAUUAUUUCAUUUAGAUUGAUGAAUUUUUAAAGUUUUUAUAUUAUACACUAAGCUUCCAUAAACAUAAUUAUUUUACUCUUUGAUGCUACACUGUCGUUCAAUAGAUGAAUGACAUGAAAUUUAAAUGUAUAUUUUAUCAUAUAAAUCAACUUUUUUCGUUAGAACGAUGGAUCACGUAUUUGAAUGAAUGUUCUGUUGUUUCCUAUUAUCUUGAGCUUUGUUCAAAUUUUCACGUUUAAAUAGCAGAAAAAUAAAUGAUGGAUCUUUCUUAGGCCGCCUCCAAAAGGUGUGCUAUGAGUGAUUGAUCAGACGAGGGGGCUUCUGAAUUAUAUGGACAAAUCUCUCCCAUCUUCCUUCGUUUUGCAGCAAAAGAUAAUUAUUCCUCCUGAGCCUGGAUGUGGUCAAAAGAGAAUGAAUAAAAUCUCAGUUGACUUGCUUAAACAUGGCUUGCCUAACCCUUAGUUCUUGAUCUUUAGACUUCAAAGCUCAAUGUAUAGAUUAAAUAAUAUACUUUGUAGAUAGGUUACUUAUUAAACAAUUAGUCACUUUUAUGUUUGUUGAAAGUUGAGUUUUGUAUACAAAAGCAAUUCUUAGUGAAUAUAUUGAGUUGAUAGAUCUUAAAUGUAUAAUGUUUAUUUAGUUGAUGUAAUUGUAUUGUUGGAA
This is a non-coding RNA of Benincasa hispida (wax gourd), 1406 nucleotides long. The record is from RefSeq and is a predicted model, not a curated record. NCBI's taxonomy places the organism in Eukaryota, Viridiplantae, Streptophyta, Magnoliopsida, Cucurbitales, Cucurbitaceae.